This is a long non-coding RNA of Xiphophorus hellerii (green swordtail), 660 nucleotides long. RefSeq lists it as uncharacterized. Lineage: Eukaryota; Metazoa; Chordata; Actinopteri; Cyprinodontiformes; Poeciliidae. The transcript is spliced from 2 exons. The record is from RefSeq and is a predicted model, not a curated record.
GUCUGUCCCUUUUUGUCGGGUUCUGGGGUUCUUGGCUUUCUUUGUUUUGUUUUCCCCUUUCUCCCUCUGCUGCUACUCACCAUUCAUCCACUAGAUGGCGCCAAACCUUCCUCUUUUCAGAGAAGUGUGCCGUCAUCCUGCACACCAGAGUUUAAUCAUCUCAUCAACCCUGGAGUACAAGAGGAGCGGACUACCAGUACUUCGACGCUUGAGUGUUAGCCUACUAACGGUGUUUUCCUUGAGACGCCCUGAAUUCUCCUUUGUGAAAAUCUAGCCUGGUUUGUGGACCAAGCCUCCCUCGUGACGCCGUAGAACUUACCUACUGGUUGCCCGAGUUCCCACACUCACCUUCUCUGCUGAAUUACAAGUCUCUCCUGGAUUCCCCGACUGGCUGUCGCGCCGCUCCUCUGUCUCCGCUCCACCCGAACUUACCUGUCCGCCCUCCGCCGCACGUCCUCGUUGACUUCCGGAUUUUCUGUGGCCAAGCGCUGGAUCACCUGGACCGACAAAGAGACCAGGACCCCGAACUCCUCAGCAACCCACUCCAAACAGAUAUCUUCAUCCUCACAAUGUGCUAACUGCGCCGUAAGCCUACCCCCUCCCGACCAGACCGGUUCACCCUUAUCCCUCCUGUCUUUCAAUAAAUUAUCAUUUACUGAU